AGACCGCCACGAUGACUUGCAAGCAACUCACUAUACUUGGGCACUAGACUACAAAAUUUCUAAUUCAGUGAUGGAAGGCUGCUGGGUGUAGUCAAGUACUUGACUUGUCGGUGCGUGUGUCAAGAUGGGAUUGACCACUCCAGUUCAGGAGCUGUGUAUAGUCGUGUUUCAAUUUAGCAAAAUCUUGGUCAGGAUAGUCUUUGUGAGGAGUCACAAGACUGUUUGAGUUGAG
This 232-nucleotide long non-coding RNA is filed under the name Elaeis guineensis (African oil palm). RNAcentral describes it as "long non-coding RNA (EGUI_LNC042679)". Lineage: Eukaryota; Viridiplantae; Streptophyta; Magnoliopsida; Arecales; Arecaceae. The record is from RNAcentral.